This 497-nucleotide ribosomal RNA is filed under the name uncultured bacterium. Its description in RNAcentral is "partial 16S ribosomal RNA". It matches the Rfam family "Bacterial small subunit ribosomal RNA", at positions 28 to 507 of the family's 1533-position model. The record is from RNAcentral.
GAUGUACGCUGGCGGCGUGCCUAAUACAUGCAAGUCGAGCGAACAGACGAGGAGCUUGCUCCUCUGACGUUAGCGGCGGACGGGUGAGUAACACGUGUAUAACCUACCUAUAAGACUGGGAUAACUUCGGGAAACCGGAGCUAAUACCGGAUAAUAUAUUGAACCGCAUGGUUCAAUAGUGAAAGACGGUUUUGGUGGAACUUCUAGAUGGAUCCGCGCCGCAUUAGCUGGUUGGUAAGGUAACGGCUUAUCAAGGCAAGGAUGCGUAGCCGAGCUGAGAGGGUGGUAGGCAGCCUUGGAACUGGACCAGCGACCAGGCGACUACGGGAGGCACCAGUCGGGAAUCUUCCGCAAUGGGCGAAAGCCUGACGCAGCAACCCCGCGUGAGUGAUGGAGGCCUUCGGAUCGUAAAACUCUGUUAUUAGGGAAAAACAACUGUGUAAUUAACUAUGCACGUCUUGACGGUACCUGAUCAGAAAGCCCCGGCUAACUACGUG